This is a long non-coding RNA of Acipenser ruthenus (sterlet), 473 nucleotides long. RefSeq lists it as uncharacterized. NCBI's taxonomy places the organism in Eukaryota, Metazoa, Chordata, Actinopteri, Acipenseriformes, Acipenseridae. The record is from RefSeq and is a predicted model, not a curated record. The transcript is spliced from 4 exons.
UCACGUGAUCGUGCAACAUAAACCACACCUCUUUGCAUCAGUACGCUGUGACGCCAGCGCGCAGGUUUUCUUCCCAUCAUUCCUGGGCUCUCACAGAUUGUAUGUCAAGAUGGUUCCUCCACUACAGGUCUCUCCGCUUAUCAAGACAGCCAGGUGGUCAGCCUUGCUGGUUGGAAUGAUCUAUGGCAAGAAGAGAUAUGAUUACCUGAAGCCCAUUGCAGAGGAGGAGAGGAUAGUGGAGGCUGCAGAGAAGAAGCAGCGUGAAGAAGCAGAGCGCAUUGCAAAACAGCUGGCAGAAGCCAAUGAAGACACCAUCCUGAAAUGAGCUGUGAAUGAAAAAAAUUAUAUUUUCUCCUUUCGUCUCAACCAGAAACUUUGAUAAAAAAAAAAAAUGUAAUGUUUUGAUUUCAUAACUGCUUAUCGCUACAUGUAUAAAGUAAAAGACUAGGAACAAUAAAUCUUUCCAAAACAAA